CAGUAGCCGCGGUAAUACAGAGGGUGCAAGCGUUAAUCGGAAUUACUGGGCGUAAAGCGCGCGUAGGUGGUUCGCCAAGUUGGAUGUGAAAUCCCCGGGCUCAACCUGGGAACUGCAUCCAAAACUGGCGAGCUAGAGUAUGGUAGAGGGUGGUGGAAUUUCCUGUGUAGCGGUGAAAUGCGUAGAUAUAGGAAGGAACAUCAGUGGCGAAGGCGACCACCUGGACUGAUACUGACACUGAGGUGCGAAAGCGUGGGGAGCAAACAGGAUUAGAUACCCCCGUAGUCCCUGUCUCUUAUAU
This 301-nucleotide ribosomal RNA is filed under the name uncultured bacterium. Its description in RNAcentral is "partial 16S ribosomal RNA". It matches the Rfam family "Bacterial small subunit ribosomal RNA", at positions 509 to 809 of the family's 1533-position model. The record is from RNAcentral.